UUUUGAGGAUAAGUAUAUCCCGUGUAAUGUUUGGGACAUAUUUACCCUAAAA
RNAcentral lists this microRNA precursor (52 nucleotides) under Gorilla gorilla gorilla (western lowland gorilla). RNAcentral's name for it is "mir-1302 microRNA precursor family". It matches the Rfam family "mir-1302 microRNA precursor family". The record is from Rfam by way of RNAcentral. Lineage: Eukaryota; Metazoa; Chordata; Mammalia; Primates; Hominidae.